UUGCUCCUCUCUCUUCAAAUCUGUCAGUGUUCGCAACCAGUAUUUCCUGAAUGACUAGUGUUACAGACCAAUGCUCAAGUUGUGUUUCCUCAAGAUAGCAGCUGGAACAGCCAUGUCUGAUUUGAAGGAGGGAUGCAAGAUAGGAAUCAGAAUAAUGCCACUUGAGAUCCUCUCUCUCAUGAUCUGUGUUGCGUUAUGUAGCAUUGGACUUUGCAAGGCACCACAGCAAAGGAGAGUUGUAAGGAGGGCUUUGAAAGAAGAUGAGGGGACUUUGCAGAUGGUUAUGGGGGGCUCUUCCCAAGCAUAAGUCGACAGUCAGCAUGGGAGAAAACACAAAGCAUUUCUCCAUUCCAGUGUGCAACUGCCCAGCCGAAUGUGCUCCAGCUUGGAGUAAACUGGAGAUAGUGGCUCUCCUGGGCCUCUGGGAAGAAGAGGCUGUGCAAGCACAGCUACGGAGCAGCCACAGAAACGUGGACACCUCUGAGCAGAUUGCCUGGGGGAUGCAGAAGAAGAGGGGCAACAGGGACUAGCAGCAGGGCCAUGUGAAAGCAAAGAAACUCAGAAGGCCAGAGAGGCGAACAGUCAAUCUGCCAUGACAACCCCACACCCCAUUGUGGAUAACUCAGAGGAAGGCAAAAAAAAUAAAAAAAUAACUCAGGGGCUCUGCCAAUCUGAUACAAGGGAAAAUUCCUUUCCAAGCCCAAAUAUAGUGAUUGCUUAGGCCCUGAGCAUGUGGACAAGACUUACCAGCUAGACUGGGGGUGGGCAAACUAUGGCCCAUGGGCCCAUCCUGUCCAAUCCCUGCUCCCCUCCUGCUGUCUCCCCUCCCCAGCAGCCACGUCCCUACUGCUCCGGCCCGCUGCUCCUGUCGGGGAGCAUUGCAGCGGCGUGACUGGCUGUGGUGAGCAGGGGGAUGUGGGAUUUGAUA
Long non-coding RNA from Mauremys mutica (yellowpond turtle), 928 nucleotides. RefSeq lists it as uncharacterized. The transcript is spliced from 3 exons. The record is from RefSeq and is a predicted model, not a curated record. NCBI's taxonomy places the organism in Eukaryota, Metazoa, Chordata, Testudines, Geoemydidae.